UUGAUCCUUGGCUCAGAUUGAACGCUGGCGGCAGGCUUAACCCCUUUUAGGGAGCGGAAACAGAUCUAGCUUGCUAGAUGCUGACGAGCGGCGGACGGGUGAGUAACGCGUAGAUAGCUGCCCAGUAGUGGGGGAUAGCCCGGGGAAACCCGGAUUAAUACCGCAUAUACUCUACGGAGGAAAGGGGGCUUCGGCUCCCGCUAUUGGAUGUGUCUGCGUGGGAUUAGCUAGUUGGUGGGGUAACGGCUCACCAAGGCGACGAUCUCUAGCUGGUCUGAGAGGAUGAUCAGCCACACUGGGACUGAGACACGGCCCAGACUCCUACGGGAGGCAGCAGUGGGGAAUAUUGCACAAUGGGCGGAAGCCUGAUGCAGCCAUGCCGCGUGUGUGAAGAAGGCUUUCGGGUUGUAAAGCACUUUCAGUAGGGAGGAAGUCUGAGUAGUUAAUACCUGCUCAGAUUGACGUUACCUACAGAAGAAGCACCGGCUAACUCAGUGCCAGCAGCCGCGGUAAUACUGAGGGUGCGAGCGUUAAUCGGAAUUACUGGGCGUAAAGCGCGCGUAGGGGGCUUGUUAAGCCAGAUGUGAUAGCCCCGGGCUCAACCUGGGAACUGCUUUUGGAACUGACUCGCUAGAGUACAGUAGAGGGGGGUGGAAUUUCCAGUGUAGGCGGUGAAAAUGCGUAGAGAUGGGAAGGAAACAUCAGUGGGCGAAGGCGGCCCCCUGGAAUGAAUACUGACGUGGAGGUGCGAAAGCGUGGGGAGCAAACAGGGAUUAGAUACCUGGGUAGUCCACGCCGUAAACGAUGUCUACUAGCGUUUGGGGAAACUUGAUUUCUUAGUGCCGCAGCUAACGCACUAAGUAGACCGCCUGGGGAGUACGGCCGCAAGGUUAAAACUCAAAUGAAUUGACGGGGGCCCGCACAAGCGGUGGAGCAUGUGGUUUAAUUCGAUGCAACGCGAAGAACCUUACCUGGUCUUGACAUCCUGCGAACUUUCUAGAGAUAGAUUGGUGCCUUCGGGAACGCAGUGACAGGUGCUGCAUGGCUGUCGUCAGCUCGUGUUGUGAAAUGUUGGGUUAGGUCCCGUAACGAGCGCAACCCUUAUCCUUAUUUGCCAGCACUUCGGGUGGGAACUCUAAGGAGACUGCCGGUGACAAACCGGAGGAAGGUGGGACGACGUCAAGUCAUCAUGGCCCUUACGACCAGGGCUACACACGUGCUACAAUGGUAAGUACAAAGGGAUGCCAAGCCGCGAGGUGGAGCUAAUCCCAUAAAGCUUAUCGUAGUCCGGAUUGGAGUCUGCAACUCGACUCCAUGAAGUCGGAAUCGCUAGUAAUCGUGGAUCAGAAUGCCACGGUGAAUACGUUCCCGGGCCUUGUACACACCGCCCGUCACACCAUGGGAGUGGAUUGCACCAGAAGUAGUUAGUCUAACCUUCGGGGGGACAAUGGACACGGUGUGGUUCAUGACUGGGGUGAAGUCGUAACAAGGUA
This 1493-nucleotide ribosomal RNA is filed under the name uncultured bacterium. Its description in RNAcentral is "16S ribosomal RNA". It matches the Rfam family "Bacterial small subunit ribosomal RNA". The record is from RNAcentral.